Molecule: ribosomal RNA, 775 nt
Filed under: uncultured Neocallimastigales
Lineage: Eukaryota; Fungi; Neocallimastigomycota; Neocallimastigomycetes; Neocallimastigales
Description: partial large subunit ribosomal RNA
Rfam family: Eukaryotic large subunit ribosomal RNA
Source: RNAcentral
GUACACGCUGUGACUAGCAUAUCAAUAAGCGGAGGAAAAGAAACUAACAAGGAUUCCCCUAGUAACGGCGAGUGAAGCGGGAAGAGCUCAAAUUUGAAAUCUUAAAGGGUUUCCCUUUACGAAUUGUAGUUUAAAGAAGUGUUUUCUGUUGAGGUUUUGGUAAAAGUUCUUUGGAAUAGGACAUCAUAGAGGGUGAGAAUCCCGUAUUUGACCUCUACUUUCAACUUUGUGAUACACUUUCAAAGAGUCGGAUUGUUUGGGAAUGCAGUCCAAAAUGGGUGGUAAAUUUCAUCUAAAGCUAAAUAUUGGCGAGAGACCGAUAGCGAACAAGUACCGUGAGGGAAAGAUGAAAAGAACUUUGAAAAGAGAGUUAAACAGUACGUGAAAUUGUCAAAAGGGAAGCGUUUGACACCAGUGUUGUUUUUCUGAAAAUCAAUUAAAGAACUGUUUAUGCUAAGUUGUUUAGACUUUAUCAGCUAACUGUUUAGUUUUGAGCUUUUCUUUAAUGCACUUUUCAGUUAACAAGUCAACAUCAAUUUCUUUUGCUGUAAAAAAGCUUGAGGAAGGUGGCUUGAGAUUCGUCUUAAGUGUUUAUAGCCUCUUGCCUAUGCAGUCGGAGAGAUUGAGGUCUGCAGCGUAGAUCCUUCGGGGCUAAAUGCAUUUGUGCUAAGUUAUAGCAUUUUCAUAGACAACUUGUUGACUAUGAUUUGUCUUGUAGCUUACUCGCUUAUGUUAUUUUACCUACGCUUAGGAUGUUGACAGCAGUAUAGACUGU